Molecule: long non-coding RNA, 806 nt
Filed under: Chinchilla lanigera (long-tailed chinchilla)
Lineage: Eukaryota; Metazoa; Chordata; Mammalia; Rodentia; Chinchillidae
Description: lncRNA (ENSCLAG00000028436.1)
Source: RNAcentral
CCGCUUCCCGGGGGACAGCGGCGCGGCCGCCUUGGGAGUCGGGCCUCCGCUAGCCCGAGCCUUUCUUCCUAGCUGCUCGGGUGGCCCCAUCUUGCGGAGCGGUGAAACCUGGGACCCCGAAAUGCGGGGUGCUGGCAGCGGUCGGAGGCCGGGGCGUGCUGAGCGGACGGGGUAGUGUCCAGCAGGCUGAGCUCCCCGUUGGAAGUGGCCUGGCUCGGCCUCUGGCCUCUGCUGCCCUGAGCCCGCCCUCGCGGCCCCUGCCGGGCACGCCCCAGCCCGUCCUGUAGGGCCGGGGCCGCGGGAGAGUAGGGGCGUCGCGCCUGCUGUCAGAGGAGGCCUUGGGGGGCGGGCGGGAGUCCGUAGUUCUGGGGAUGUGUUGGGGAGCACUGCAAAGUGGCUCUGAGCGGGAUUUAAUACUAACCGGUUGGCUUUCCAUGUUUGCUUGUGAGUUGUCUGAAACUUAGGCAUCUUGUCUGACAAGAUAAGGCCACAGCUGAAGACGUUUGGCUCCAACCCCAAUUACUACAAGGUAGUUUCUACAGCUGCAGCCUCCACACGCCUACAAUAAAUACCAACCGAGAGAUAAGGAAACUCAGCCAACCGAGCGCCAGGCCCGUGUGAAGAAAGAUUACUCCAACUUCAUGGCUUCUCUGAAUUUUGGCAGCUACUAUGCAAGAGAGAUCGUGACCCGCAGCUUCUCCAACCUGUGUGUUGGGGGGGCCUCUGGAUCUUCAACAAGCAUGGCAUGGAGACUGCCUUGGCCUGCUGGGAGUGGCUGCUGGUUGGUUGAAAGAAAAGGAAAAUGA